GAUUAGCUAGUUGGUGGGGUAAAGGCCUACCAAGGCGACGAUCCAUAGCUGGUCUGAGAGGAUGAUCAGCCACAUUGGGACUGAGACACGGCCCAAACUCCUACGGGAGGCAGCAGUGGGGAAUAUUGGACAAUGGGCGCAAGCCUGAUCCAGCCAUGCCGCGUGAGUGAUGAAGGCCCUAGGGUUGUAAAGCUCUUUCACCGGAGAAGAUAAUGACGGUAUCCGGAGAAGAAGCCCCGGCUAACUUCGUGCCAGCAGCCGCGGUAAUACGAAGGGGGCUAGCGUUGUUCGGAAUUACUGGGCGUAAAGCGCACGUAGGCGGAUCGAUCAGUCAGGGGUGAAAUCCCAGGGCUCAACCCUGGAACUGCCUUUGAUACUGUCGAUCUGGAGUAUGGAAGAGGUGAGUGGAAUUCCGAGUGUAGAGGUGAAAUUCGUAGAUAUUCGGAGGAACACCAGUGGCGAAGGCGGCUCACUGGUCCA
This 480-nucleotide ribosomal RNA is filed under the name uncultured bacterium. RNAcentral describes it as "bacterial SSU rRNA". It matches the Rfam family "Bacterial small subunit ribosomal RNA", at positions 239 to 736 of the family's 1533-position model. The record is from RNAcentral.